This 73-nucleotide transfer RNA is filed under the name Enterocloster aldenensis. Its description in RNAcentral is "[Clostridium] aldenense tRNA-Lys". It matches the Rfam family "tRNA". Rfam says of the family: Transfer RNA (tRNA) molecules are approximately 80 nucleotides in length. Their secondary structure includes four short double-helical elements and three loops (D, anti-codon, and T loops). Further hydrogen bonds mediate the characteristic L-shaped molecular structure. tRNAs have two regions of fundamental functional importance: the anti-codon, which is responsible for specific mRNA codon recognition, and the 3' end, to which the tRNAs corresponding amino acid is attached (by aminoacyl-tRNA synthetases). tRNAs cope with the degeneracy of the genetic code in two manners: having more than one tRNA (with a specific anti-codon) for a particular amino acid; and 'wobble' base-pairing, i.e. permitting non-standard base-pairing at the 3rd anti-codon position. The record is from RNAcentral. RNAcentral also lists the same sequence under 1 other name. Lineage: Bacteria; Bacillati; Bacillota; Clostridia; Lachnospirales; Lachnospiraceae.
GUGAUUGUAGCUCAGUUGGUAGAGCACCGGACUUUUAAUCCGGUUGUCAUGAGUUCGAGCCUCAUCAGUCACA